UAUUGCACAAUGGGGGAAACCCUGAUGCAGCGACGCCGCGUGAGUGAAGAAGUAUUUCGGUANGUAAAGCUCUAUCAGCAGGGAANNCCNNNANGGUACCUGAUUAAGAAGCCCCGGCUAACUACGUGCCAGCAGCCGCGGUAAUACGUAGGGGGCAAGCGUUAUCCGGAUUUACUGGGUGUAAAGGGAGCGUAGACGGCAGCACAAGUCAGGAGUGAAAUGCCGGGGCUUAACCCCGGAACUGCUUUGGAAACUGUGCAGCUAGAGUGCAGGAGAGGUAAGUGGAAUUCCUAGUGUAGCGGUGAAAUGCGUAGAUAUUAGGAGGAACACCAGUGGCGAAGGCGGCUUACUGGACAGUAACUGACGUUGAGGCUCGAAAGCGUGGGGAGCA
Molecule: ribosomal RNA, 391 nt
Filed under: uncultured bacterium
Lineage: Bacteria
Description: bacterial SSU rRNA
Rfam family: Bacterial small subunit ribosomal RNA
Source: RNAcentral